GAAAACAUUACAUCACAAUUCUCGUGCAACACCCUUGAGAAUACAAGGUUGACGAAAACAAUUUUUCCAUUCUUGAAAUUAUGGAAUGAGCUGAAUCAGGACACGGCGACUGGUGGAUGUGCUUUGGUGACCGUCCAAGUAUAUGAAAUAGCAUCUCAUCUCUGUCCUCACCUGGUCUCUCUCUAGCUAUGGUGCCUUAUAUAACUCCCCCUUAAAGCCCAGAGGUGAAGUCUUUCACAUAAAAUCCUCUGUCAAGUCUCCACCAUGCAUGCACUAGGGGUUCCCAGCUCUGAUAAAAUGGCCGCGUACGGCAAGACUAGUUUAUUUGGUUUGAGAAUUUUGAUGGUGUUGCUGAUGGUUGUUGUGACUUCAAUCAUAAUAAUUGUGCCGCCGUUCUUGCCACUAUUGCCACCGCCACCUCCAAUAUUUCUCUUUCUGCCAGUUUUGAUGAUGUCUCUUCUUGUUGCCCUGGCAUUCUCUUCAGCAUCUCAAAAGUUACCUGACUACACCACCCUUUCCAGUUUAAGCGUUUAAUUCAUACAAACACAUGCAUACAUGGAAAUUAAUGUGGUGUUGAUGCACUAAAAAGUGUAGGCGAUGCAGAUGAAUCGAAAGUUAUAUCCUUUAGCAUAAGACUGUGUGUUCGGAGAAAAUGUACUGUGAAGCUUUUUCUUAAUUCUUAUUCUUCUCUUCUUUUUCUUUGUUUUUUUUGUAAUGAUCACUUUAAAUAUAAGAAUUUGAAGCUAAUUGUAGUGGAUUUUUUUUACCUGAUUGAAUAUUCAUAGUUUGAUAUAUUUUUUUAUUGAAAUCAAGAUGUAAUCAUGAUUGCAUUUUGCAUAAUGGCAGGAAGACAGAGAAGGGGAAGAAAAAAACAGUGAAACAACAUUCUCACUGUUCUUUAAUUAUGUCUUUCUUAUAUAUAUAUUUCCUUUCCUGGAAAGCAAGUGGGUUCAUCUUGCUGGGGUCCGAGCUGACUUGCAAGUGUUGCAAAGGUUACAGGCUGCAGCUACUCAGCUAGCCACCUACCUAGCCAGGCACCGUGUAUGUACAUGGAAAGAUCCUGACAAAUGUUCGUCUCUCGGUUUAAUGGCUAUAUGGCCGAGAAGAUCCUUGUAGUUUCUAUUUCUAUUAUAUAUUGAACCUUGUUGUUCCAAAAAAGACAUUGGAUUUCUAAUAUUUUGGUUUUUCGAAAAAAUACUUUAGUUUUCUCCCUGGAUUACAAGAUUUGAGUUUGUGAUAAUUUGAUUAUUAAAAAUAUAAUAUUAUAUCAAGAAUUAUAUUAUAAAAAAAAAACUAAAAGAGCUCAAUAGAUUAUGAAAUAAUUUACUGUGGACUUGUACGGUAUAAUUACUUUUUUGUCAUUCUUUAUACAAAGGUUUUGCCUAGCUUGCGAGAGUAGAAUGAUAUUUUCCAUGGGGCCC
Molecule: long non-coding RNA, 1421 nt
Filed under: Populus trichocarpa (black cottonwood)
Lineage: Eukaryota; Viridiplantae; Streptophyta; Magnoliopsida; Malpighiales; Salicaceae
Description: long non-coding RNA (PTRI_LNC001662)
Source: RNAcentral